Salvelinus sp. IW2-2015 is the source of this 1018-nucleotide long non-coding RNA. RefSeq lists it as uncharacterized. The record is from RefSeq and is a predicted model, not a curated record. NCBI's taxonomy places the organism in Eukaryota, Metazoa, Chordata, Actinopteri, Salmoniformes, Salmonidae.
UCGAACAAGCCCAUCAUCUUUUAAGAAGCGACAAUGAGGUGAACACUAAUGGUUGCAACAGCUGUACGGGUGAAUUUAGCACAAUACCGUUUAACGAGACAUCAGCUGGCAAUAAUAAGGGUGCUGCCUUUUGAGGCAGAAUUUGUAGGCAGUACGUCAAAAUUGGCAUGUCCCAAUCCUGUGUAUCCUUUGACGGGGAGGCUAUCCCAUAACACCUUGCGGUGAAUUAAUGGUUGGCAGAAGUCCACCGCUUGGGAAAACAUUUUCCAGAACAAUAAGGAAUAACUUUUGAAAUGGACUAAAGUGGACAACUGAUCGCAUUUCCCUCCAUUGCAUUGGCUUGGCAGGAAAAAACAGUCCUGCCCGAUUCUUUUGGAGGCAAGACAUUUUAACGGCUGAUGAAAAACGUGGAAGGACAUGACACCCUGCAGAUGUAAAGAACGUGUGAACCUCCCAACCACCAUGAUAGUCACCAAUGGAUGUAGCUUACAUUAGGAUGAAGUAGCCUAGGCCUUCUAAUCUAGUUUCCAUCAUAUCACCUUUCAAUAUUWCUUACCAACGAAUAUAAAAGCAUAUCUUCAACAUCGGUCUAAUUUAAUAAUAUACAUGGGUGUGAUAGUUGUAUGAAUUAAUCCCAGUGCAAGCCUACUCAUUAUUUUAAAAAAAAGCAUGAUUAGCUCUAAUGCAAUAUUAGCUUCACAGUGAAACACCACUAUUCUGGCUAUUAAUCAUUCUUAAACAGUCAGUAAAAUAGAUUAUUUAGCCAUCUCAAAAAAAUUGUAGCCUGUAUGAUAUCAUGCAUGCAAGCUUACCUGGCAUGUCCACAACGAUGCAGCAGCAGACCAAGCAAUAUGCUAGAGGACCCUAUACUGUAGGAUAAUUAUUCUGGUAGGUGUCAACAUUCAUUCAUUAGGUACCGAGGAGAUCGAUAUUGUUACUUGUUUACUUGUUAUUCAUGUCAGAUAUUUCCAUUUUGGGAUAGUUGUUCACUGAAUUGCUCAUCCUGCUACAGUGGCUA